GUUCUCAGUGCUGGCUUAGGUAGAACAUUAACUGUAAUGGGAGGAUACAGAGAUGAGCAUUGCACAAGGAUGACAUGCAAAUUCAUGAAGAGGGUCAUAUUUUU
This is a small nuclear RNA of Camelus dromedarius (Arabian camel), 104 nucleotides long. Lineage: Eukaryota; Metazoa; Chordata; Mammalia; Artiodactyla; Camelidae. The record is from Ensembl.